CCUACGGGAGGCAGCAGUAGGGAAUCUUCCGCAAUGGACGAAAGUCUGACGGAGCAACGCCGCGUGAGUGAUGAAGGCUUUCGGGUCGUAAAACUCUGUUGUUAGGGAAGAACAAGUGCUAGUUGAAUAAGCUGACACCUUGACGGUACCUAACCAGAAAGCCACGGCUAACUACGUGCCAGCAGCCGCGGUAAUACGUAGGUGGCAAGCGUUAUCCGGAAUUAUUGGGCGUAAAGCGCGCGCAGGUGGUUUCUUAAGUCUGAUGUGAAAGCCCACGGCUCAACCGUGGAGGGUCAUUGGAAACUGGGAGACUUGAGUGCAGAAGAGGAAAGUGGAAUUCCAUGUGUAGCGGUGAAAUGCGUAGAGAUAUGGAGGAACACCAGUGGCGAAGGCGACUUUCUGGUCUGUAACUGACACUGAGGCGCGAAAGCGUGGGGAGCAAACAGGAUUAGAUACCCUGGUAGU
RNAcentral lists this ribosomal RNA (465 nucleotides) under uncultured Bacillaceae bacterium. RNAcentral's name for it is "partial 16S ribosomal RNA". It matches the Rfam family "Bacterial small subunit ribosomal RNA", at positions 338 to 794 of the family's 1533-position model. Lineage: Bacteria; Bacillati; Bacillota; Bacilli; Caryophanales; Bacillaceae. The record is from RNAcentral.